AGCUCCAAUAGCGUAUAUUAAAGUUGUUGCAGUUAAAAAGCUCGUAGUUGAAGUUGUAGGGCGUUGGGACCUUGCUCGCUCCGGCGAGGGGUUUCCGCCUAUUGGAUUCGUAUUACUGUGAAAAAAUUAGAGUGUUCCAAGCGGGCUGUUGAUGCUUGCAUAUAUUAGCAUGGAAUAAUGAGAUAGGACACGUGUACCUU
RNAcentral lists this ribosomal RNA (200 nucleotides) under uncultured eukaryote. RNAcentral describes it as "partial 18S ribosomal RNA". It matches the Rfam family "Eukaryotic small subunit ribosomal RNA", at positions 587 to 839 of the family's 1831-position model. The record is from RNAcentral.